This 148-nucleotide non-coding RNA is filed under the name Nomascus leucogenys (northern white-cheeked gibbon). The record is from Rfam by way of RNAcentral. Lineage: Eukaryota; Metazoa; Chordata; Mammalia; Primates; Hylobatidae.
GCUGGGCGUGGUGGCGCAUGCCUGUAGUCCUAGCUACUUGGGAGGCUGAAGUGGGAGGCUCACUUGAGCCCAGGAGUUCAAAGCUGCAGUGUGCUAUGAUCAUGCCACUGCACUCCAGCCUGGGUGACAGAGCAAGACCUCGUCUCUA